Molecule: ribosomal RNA, 523 nt
Filed under: uncultured bacterium
Lineage: Bacteria
Description: bacterial SSU rRNA
Rfam family: Bacterial small subunit ribosomal RNA
Source: RNAcentral
AGAGUUUGAUCCUGGCUCAGAUUGAACGCUGGCGGCAUGCCUUACACAUGCAAGUCGAACGGCAGCACGGGUGCUUGCACCUGGUGGCGAGUGGCGAACGGGUGAGUAAUACAUCGGAACAUGUCCUGUAGUGGGGGAUAGCCCGGCGAAAGCCGGAUUAAUACCGCAUACGAUCUACGGAUGAAAGCGGGGGACCUUCGGGCCUCGCGCUAUAGGGUUGGCCGAUGGCUGAUUAGCUAGUUGGUGGGGUAAAGGCCUACCAAGGCGACGAUCAGUAGCUGGUCUGAGAGGACGACCAGCCACACUGGGACUGAGACACGGCCCAGACUCCUACGGGAGGCAGCAGUGGGGAAUUUUGGACAAUGGGCGAAAGCCUGAUCCAGCAAUGCCGCGUGUGUGAAGAAGGCCUUCGGGUUGUAAAGCACUUUUGUCCGGAAAGAAAUCCUUGGCUCUAAUACAGUCGGGGGAUGACGGUACCGGAAGAAUAAGCACCGGCUAACUACGUGCCAGCAGCCGCGGUAAU